ACGGGGAGCCCGGGGCCGGAUCUUCUGGACCCGAAAUCUCUGGUCCCCUCCUGGACCACAUUCCUCAUAUAAAAUCCUCCCUCACGCACGAAGCACGUGCACGCGUCAACGCACAGAAAAACAAGCCCUAGCCUCUUCCUCUCGUCGCCUCCCUCCAGCGAGCCUGUCCCCCACGUUCCAGCCCCCGGCGACCUCCCUCCCACGACCUCUCUCCCUCCAGCGCCGUCUCCAGCGCCCGCGGCGACCUCCAGCGGCCUCAGCGUCGCCUCCCUGCCUCCAACGCCGUCUCCAGCGCCGACCUCCCUCGUCGCCACCCUCCAGCGCCGAUCUCCAGCGCCGUCUCCAGCGCCGCCGUCCUGCACACGCCAACGCACAAAAAAAGCCCUAGCAUCUUCCAACUCCAGCGUCGCCUCCCUCCCUCCAGCGCCGGCCUCCCUCGUCGCCUGCGGCCUCCCUCCAGCGCCAUCUCCAGCGUCCUCUCCAGUCGCCUCCCUCCCUCCAGCGCUCUCUCAGCGUCGACCUCCAGCGCCAACUCCGCACAAAAGCCCUAGCCUCUCAACAUCCAGCAUCGCCGACCUCCAGUGCCGCCUCCCUUCAGCAUCGCUGACCUCCAGCAACCUCCCGUCCUCCACCUCCAGCGGCCUCUAGCGACCUCGAAUUCGAUUCCAGCGACCUCCGUCCUUGGCACCGUGUGGACAGAGCAAUUUGAAGAUUAUUUAAGCAAUGCAAGCGGUGUUGUGCAUUUGGAACGGAUCUUGAUCUUUGAAGAUCUCUGUCAAAGAUCCAACUAUCAUUGUGCAAAUAAGAAAGAGAACUAAGCACCAACUGGGUUCAAGACAAAAAAUGAACGUAUUUUUUUUAAAGAUAAAGCAAGCACACAGGAGAUCUCGGAACAAGUAAGAAGUCAGAGAUGAGUUGACUUUGUUUCUCACGCUGAUCAGGACGGGCACCAAGAAUAGUUGCUUGGUCUCUGACCUACUCCCAAGCUGCUAGCUCUUUGGCUGUCGAGAUAUAAUGGAUGUUGAUCUAGUGAUGGAGAAUGAUGAGACUAAUUGUGAAGCCUAAAUAUUGAAGGAAAAGUCCUUGGAUCAUCCCUAAAUAUUAUUUUCUUCUUAAUACAUGUGCUGCUUAUGCUUGAGGCACAGUGUAUAUCAAUUAUUUACAGCAAAUUUAUAUGAAAUUAACUCAUCUGAGUUUGUAAUUUAUUUCACCAAGAAUUUUCUUGUAGCAUUCUACUUGGAAAUCCCAA
Zingiber officinale is the source of this 1249-nucleotide long non-coding RNA. RefSeq lists it as uncharacterized. The transcript is spliced from 3 exons. The record is from RefSeq and is a predicted model, not a curated record. NCBI's taxonomy places the organism in Eukaryota, Viridiplantae, Streptophyta, Magnoliopsida, Zingiberales, Zingiberaceae.